AUACUUACCUGGCAGGGGAGAUACCAUGAUCACGAAGGUGGUUUUCCCAGGGCGAGGCUUAUCCAUUGCACUCCGGAUGUGCUGACCCCUGCGAUUUCCCCAAAUGUGGGAAACUCGACUGCAUAAUUUGUGGUAGUGGGGGACUGCGUUCGCGCUUUCCCCCG
RNAcentral lists this small nuclear RNA (164 nucleotides) under Odobenus rosmarus divergens (Pacific walrus). RNAcentral describes it as "U1 spliceosomal RNA". It matches the Rfam family "U1 spliceosomal RNA". Rfam says of the family: U1 is a small nuclear RNA (snRNA) component of the spliceosome (involved in pre-mRNA splicing). Its 5' end forms complementary base pairs with the 5' splice junction, thus defining the 5' donor site of an intron. The record is from Rfam by way of RNAcentral. Lineage: Eukaryota; Metazoa; Chordata; Mammalia; Carnivora; Odobenidae.